Molecule: ribosomal RNA, 464 nt
Filed under: uncultured bacterium
Lineage: Bacteria
Description: partial 16S ribosomal RNA
Rfam family: Bacterial small subunit ribosomal RNA
Source: RNAcentral
CUACGGGUGGCUCCAGUGGGGAAUAUUGGACAAUGGGGGAAACCCUGAUCCAGCAAUGCCGCGUGUGUGAAGAAGGCCUGCGGGUUGUAAAGCACUUUCGGUUGGGAGGACUGCUUCUAGCACUAAUAUUGUUGGAAGUUGACGUUACCUUCAGAAGAAGCACCGGCUAACUCCGUGCCAGCAGCCGCGGUAAUACGGAGGGUGCAAGCGUAAUCGGAAUUACUGGGCGUAAAGCGCGCGGAGGCGGCUAGAUCAGUCGGGUGUGAAAGCCCCGGGCUUAACCUGGGAACUGCAUCCGAUACUGUCUAGCUUGAGUACAGGAGAGGAGAGUGGAAUUCCACAUGUAGCGGUGAAAUGCGUAGAUAUGUGGAGGAACACCAAUGGCGAAGGCAGCUCUCUGGCCUGAUACUGACGCUGAGGUGCGAAAGCGUGGGGAGCAAACAGGAUUAGAUACCCGAGUAGUC